CACGUAGGGCGCAAGCGUUGUCCGGAAUUAUUGGGCGUAAAGAGCUCGUAGGCGGUCUGUUGCGUCCGCUGUGAAAAACUCGGGGGCUUAACCCCGAGCCUGCAGUGGAUACGGGCAGACUAGAGUGCGGGUAGGGGAGAUUGGAAUUCCUGGUGUAGCGGUGGAAUGCGCAGAUAUCAGGAGGAACACCUGUGGCGAAAAGCGGCUCACUGGACCACAACUACGCUGAGGCGCGAAAAAGCUAGGGGGGAGCAAAACAGGAUUAGAAAACCC
This 273-nucleotide ribosomal RNA is filed under the name uncultured bacterium. RNAcentral's name for it is "partial 16S ribosomal RNA". It matches the Rfam family "Bacterial small subunit ribosomal RNA", at positions 524 to 788 of the family's 1533-position model. The record is from RNAcentral.